Molecule: non-coding RNA, 24 nt
Filed under: Cricetulus griseus (Chinese hamster)
Lineage: Eukaryota; Metazoa; Chordata; Mammalia; Rodentia; Cricetidae
Source: RNAcentral
UCUGUAAUGAAAGGACGCUCUAAA